This 154-nucleotide ribosomal RNA is filed under the name Fusarium sacchari. RNAcentral describes it as "partial large subunit ribosomal RNA". The record is from RNAcentral. Lineage: Eukaryota; Fungi; Ascomycota; Sordariomycetes; Hypocreales; Nectriaceae.
AAGCGCUUGUGACCAGACUUGGGCUUGGUUGAUCAUCCGGGGUUCUCCCCGGUGCACUCUUCCGGCCCAGGCCAGCAUCAGUUCGCCCUGGGGGACAAAGGCUUCGGGAACGUGGCUCUCUCCGGGGAGUGUUAUAGCCCGUUGCGUAAUACCC